This 448-nucleotide ribosomal RNA is filed under the name uncultured bacterium. Its description in RNAcentral is "partial 16S ribosomal RNA". It matches the Rfam family "Bacterial small subunit ribosomal RNA", at positions 330 to 794 of the family's 1533-position model. The record is from RNAcentral.
CCCAGACUCCUACGGGAGGCAGCAGUGGGGGAUAUUGCACAAUGGGGGGAACCCUGAUGCAGCGACGCCGCGUGGGUGAAGGAGCGUUUCGGCGCGUAAAGCCCUAUCGGCAGGGAAGAAGGAGGACGGUACCUGACUAAGAAGCCCCGGCUAACUACGUGCCAGCAGCCGCGGUAAUACGUAGGGGGCAAGCGUUAUCCGGAUUUACUGGGUGUAAAGGGGGCGCAGACGGCAGCGCAAGCCAGGAGUGAAAGCCCGGGGCCCAACCCCGGGACUGCUCUUGGAACUGCGCGGCUGGAGUGCAGGAGGGGCAGGCGGAAUUCCUGGUGUAGCGGUGAAAUGCGUAGAUAUCAGGAGGAACACCGGUGGCGAAGGCGGCCUGCUGGACUGCGACUGACGUUGAGGCCCGAAAGCGUGGGGAGCAAACAGGAUUAGAUACCCCAGUAAC